Pieris napi is the source of this 399-nucleotide long non-coding RNA. RefSeq lists it as uncharacterized. The record is from RefSeq and is a predicted model, not a curated record. The transcript has 3 exons. Lineage: Eukaryota; Metazoa; Arthropoda; Insecta; Lepidoptera; Pieridae.
UUCGAAUUUUGCGUGUUAUUUCGUAAUGCCGAGAUGGAAAAUCGUUCUAAGGGUGUAGAUGUAUUAUUGUUUGUUCUAUAUUUUGGUGUCUGUGAAUGUACAUUGACGACGGCUGUUAUUAAAGACAAUACUUCGCCGAAACCUGUUUAUCGUAGAUUUUAUAUAGGAAGUGCAGGAGUGAAUGCAAAAUCCACCGAUAAAAUGAUUGAUUUACUUGAUGGGAGGCGAAGGAACAGUAUGUCGGCAGAAAGCGGAUUAUAUAAUGGCUCACAAAUAUGGGACUGGGACACUUGGUGCUUACUUCAGCCAAGGAAAGGUAAUUGUGUCCAGAAUAUAGACAGAUUUUAUUACAAUCGCCAAUUGGAAAAGUGCCUACCGUUUGUGUACAGUGGAUGCAAU